RNAcentral lists this long non-coding RNA (999 nucleotides) under Homo sapiens (human). RNAcentral describes it as "non-protein coding lnc-TRAPPC3-2:1". The record is from RNAcentral. Lineage: Eukaryota; Metazoa; Chordata; Mammalia; Primates; Hominidae.
ACUCCGGGCCAGCUUGCCUUGUUGAAAAGCUUCCGAGUUGGAAGUCGAGUCUCCCUGUUUUUGGUCUCUGCUGCGCUCCCUUCCGCUUUGUGACCUUGAGCAAAUUCAUCCCUCCUCUCUAAACUUGUUUCCUCCCCUGUGAAAUGAGACUUGUAAUUUCUACCCCACAGCGAUGUUGCCAGGCUCCGACAAAGUAAGGCACAGGAAAGCCUCAAGCACCCUGAAAGCGCAACGCAAAUGGAGGGGUUGGUUUGGUUUCGUUUUUUUAAUUUUAAUUGUGUGACCUCAUUCGGAGACCCAGAAACCGCCUCUCCCCAGCCUGCCUUCUGUAACUAUGAUUUUCUGACUGUCGUCCUGGGAAGUUUGUUAAAAUGGGUGCUACUGGGGUAUUGAACCAAAAGUUUACCGGGGAGUGUCUCCCUGCAGUCUACAUUUUAAACCGAUCUCUCGGGUGAUUCUUACCCACCUACAAAUUUGAGAAUCUCUGCGUUUAUCAGUUUUGCACAGGCUGGUUUCCUCCGGAAUUUCUGCUCUAGUGUCUCUGAACAUUUAAGACCCAUCUCAUAGGUCAUCUGUGAUGCUUUCAAAGUUGACUAGCUCCUCCCUAUGCCUGUGUUCCCACAGUAAGUUUGCAUCUUACUCUGUAAGUAUCGGGGCCUUCCCCGACAAGACUGUGAGCUCUUUGAGAGCCGAGAUCAGUUUUGAUGGAUUUCUGCACCUCCAGAGAAAAGUAGACACAGUACACAUCAAUUAAUAAAGAAAUCUAAUGCUCUUCCUAAGAGAAAAGCUGCAAGGCUCAACUCAAGUAGCAGACCACGCCACAUCAGCCCUUGCCCUUAGUGGCUUCGGCAGCAUUCCUUGCACACGGCUUACUCUUUCUUCCUUCUUUGAGCACUUCUUGUGGUCGACGUACUGCGCAGUGCUUCUUAAAACGUUCUAAUUUAAUUGAUUUUAUUUUUAUUUAUUUAUUUAUUUAUUUAUUGAGAUUCUCCCUAUGUC